GUACCGCAUGGUACCGUGUGAAAAGCCGAGACGGUAUGAGAUGGACCCGCGUCUGAUUAGCUAGUUGGUGGGGUUAACGGCCCACCAAGGCGACGAUCAGUAGCCGACCUGAGAGGGUGACCGGCCACAUUGGGACUGAGACACGGCCCAAACUCCUACGGGGAGGCAGCAGUGGGGAAUAUUGCACAAUGGGGGGAAACCCUGAUGCAGCGACGCCGCGUGAGUGAAGAAGUAUUUCGGGUAUGUAAAGCUCCUAUCAGCAGGGAAGAAAAUGACGGUACCUGACUAAGAAGCCCCGGCUAACUACGUG
This 310-nucleotide ribosomal RNA is filed under the name uncultured bacterium. RNAcentral's name for it is "bacterial SSU rRNA". It matches the Rfam family "Bacterial small subunit ribosomal RNA", at positions 183 to 507 of the family's 1533-position model. The record is from RNAcentral.